UGAGGAAUAUUGCACAAUGGGCGCAGGCCUGAUGCAGCAACGCCGCGUGAGGGACGAAGGCCUUCGGGUCGUAGACCUCUUUUCUGGGGGACGAGUAAGGACGGUACCCCAGGAAUAAGUCUCGGCUAACUACGUGCCAGCAGCCGCGGUAAAACGUAGGAGGCGAGCGUUAUCCGGAUUUACUGGGCGUAAAGCGUACGCAGGUGGCUUCGUUAGUCGGACAUGAAAGCUCCUGGCUUAACUGGGAGAGGUUGUUCGAUACUGCGGGGCUUGAGGUUGGGAGAGGGACGUGGAAUUCCCGGUGUAGUGGUGGAAUGCGUAGAUAUCGGGAGGAACACCAGUGGCGCAAGCGGCGUCCUGGCCCACACCUGACGCUGAGGUACGAAAGCGUGGGUAGCAAACAG
This 404-nucleotide ribosomal RNA is filed under the name uncultured bacterium. RNAcentral describes it as "bacterial SSU rRNA". It matches the Rfam family "Bacterial small subunit ribosomal RNA", at positions 355 to 775 of the family's 1533-position model. The record is from RNAcentral.